RNAcentral lists this ribosomal RNA (301 nucleotides) under uncultured bacterium. RNAcentral's name for it is "partial 16S ribosomal RNA". It matches the Rfam family "Bacterial small subunit ribosomal RNA", at positions 509 to 809 of the family's 1533-position model. The record is from RNAcentral.
CAGUCGCCGCGGUAAAACGUAGGGUGCGAGCGUUAAUCGGAAUUACUGGGCGUAAAGCGUGCGUAGGUGGUGGUUUAAGUCCGUUGUGAAAGCCCUGGGCUCAACCUGGGAAUUGCAGUGGAUACUGGGUCACUAGAGUGUGGUAGAGGAUAGUGGAAUUUCCGGUGUAGCAGUGAAAUGCGUAGAGAUCGGAAGGAACAUCUGUGGCGAAGGCGACUAUCUGGGCCAACGUUGACACUGAGGCACGAAAGCGUGGGGAGCAAACAGGAUUAGAUACCCGAGUAGUCCCUGUCUCUUAUAA